Molecule: ribosomal RNA, 441 nt
Filed under: uncultured bacterium
Lineage: Bacteria
Description: partial 16S ribosomal RNA
Rfam family: Bacterial small subunit ribosomal RNA
Source: RNAcentral
CCUACGGGUGACAGCAGUGGGGAAUAUUGCACAAUGGGGGAAACCCUGAUGCAGCAACGCCGCGUGAGUGAGGAAGUAUUUCGGUAUGUAAAGCUCUAUCAGCAGGGAAUAGAAAAGAAGGUACCUGAAAAAGAAGCCCCGGCUAACUACGUGCCAGCAGCCGCGGUAAUACGUAGGGGGCAAGCGUUAUCCGGAUUUACUGGGUGUAAAGGGAGCGUAGACGGAAAGGCAAGUCAGAAGUGAAAGCCCAAGGCUCAACCAUGGGACUGCUUUUGAAACUGUCAAACUAGAGUACGGGAGAGGUAAGAGGAAUGCCUAGUGUAGCGGUGAAAUGCGUAGAUAUUAGGAGGAACUCCGAUUGCGAAGGCAGCUCACUGGACUGCAACUGACACUGAUGCUCGAAAGUGUGGGUAUCAAACAGGAUUAGAUACCCUAGUAGUC